RNAcentral lists this ribosomal RNA (426 nucleotides) under uncultured bacterium. RNAcentral's name for it is "bacterial SSU rRNA". It matches the Rfam family "Bacterial small subunit ribosomal RNA", at positions 355 to 775 of the family's 1533-position model. The record is from RNAcentral.
UCGGGAAUUUUGGGCAAUGGGCGAAAGCCUGACCCAGCAACGCCGCGUGAAGGAUGAAAUCCCUCGGGAUGUAAACUUCGCAAGAAUGGGAAGAAUUAGCGAGCGCUAAUACCGCUCGUGAUGACGGUACCAUUUGUAAGCUCCGGCUAACUCCGUGCCAGCAGCCGCGGUAAUACGGGGGGAGCAAGCGUUGUUCGGAUUUACUGGGCGUAAAGGGCGCGUAGGCGGUCAGCACAAGUCAGUUGUGAAAUCUCCGGGCUUAACUCGGAAAGGUCAACUGAUACUGUGCGACUAGAGUGCGGAAGGGGCAACUGGAAUUCUCGGUGUAGCGGUGAAAUGCGUAGAUAUCGAGAGGAACACCUGCGGCGAAGGCGGGUUGCUGGGCCGACACUGACGCUGAUGCGCGAAAGCCAGGGGAGCGAACGG